AGAGUCAAAUGAAGCCCUGCGUCAGUACUAUUAUAUGUUAUGUGCAAUAUACUGUUGGAUGUCAACUCCCCAAAACCAUAAAACUUACUUUAAUGGCACCACGUGACCGUUUAUAGCCAGUAAGCCUAUCUUUCUGUGCUGUGGAUGAUUUUCCGAUUCAUAGACAAAACCCCCAUUCAUUUGGCACCCAAAUGUCGUGCAGCCGGAACUGGGAUAAUAAAGUUUAUAGCUCCAAACUUAAAUAGAUUUUCAGGGAGUGGGAAGCAAGAGAAGGGACGCAGAAGCCCUCGUGUGGCUUAUUGUAUGGACUAUUUAAGCUUCAAGCACGCGGACAGACACUGCUCCAUUUCAGGAUUACUUGGCCUGGACGCUAACAGAAGCUACUGGCUCACUCUCCUCUUCUUCAAUGACUUUGGUGACGGAUCCAGCCACCUGACCAUUAUCCUUAUGGUCCUUCUUCCAUUUCAUCCUCCGAUUUUGGAACCAGA
This is a long non-coding RNA of Paramormyrops kingsleyae, 488 nucleotides long. RefSeq lists it as uncharacterized. The record is from RefSeq and is a predicted model, not a curated record. Lineage: Eukaryota; Metazoa; Chordata; Actinopteri; Osteoglossiformes; Mormyridae.